AUUUUGAAACGCCGGUUCCCAUAAAAUCACCGAAGUUAAUCAACGACAAGCCUGGUCAGUGCUUAGAUGGGUUAUCACUUGGGAAUACCAGGGUCUGU
Acanthosepion pharaonis is the source of this 98-nucleotide non-coding RNA. The record is from the annotation of a GenBank genome assembly. Lineage: Eukaryota; Metazoa; Mollusca; Cephalopoda; Sepiida; Sepiidae.